CCUACGGGAGGCAGCAGUAAGGAAUAUUGGUCAAUGGGCGCAAGCCUGAACCAGCCAUGCCGCGUGCAGGAAGACAGCCCUAUGGGUUGUAAACUGCUUUUGUACGGGAAAAAACCUCUGGUCGUGAACCGGAGCUGAUGGUACCGUAAGAAUAAGCAUCGGCUAACUCCGUGCCAGCAGCCGCGGUAAUACGGAGGAUGCAAGCGUUAUCCGGAUUCAUUGGGUUUAAAGGGUGCGCAGGCGGAAUGAUAAGUCAGUGGUGAAAUCCUGCAGCUUAACUGCAGAACUGCCAUUGAUACUGUUGUUCUUGAGUAUAGUUGAAGUGGGCGGAAUGUGUCAUGUAGCGGUGAAAUGCUUAGAUAUGACACAGAACACCGAUCGCGAAGGCAGCUCGCUAAGCUAUAACUGACGCUCAUGCACGAAAGCGUGGGGAUCAAACAGGAUUAGAUACCCUGGUAGUCCACGCCGUAAACGAUGAUUACUCGAUGUUGGCGAUA
This 497-nucleotide ribosomal RNA is filed under the name uncultured bacterium. RNAcentral describes it as "bacterial SSU rRNA". It matches the Rfam family "Bacterial small subunit ribosomal RNA", at positions 338 to 831 of the family's 1533-position model. The record is from RNAcentral.